UUAAUGCAGUUUUCUUUAACUUUCUGCAUUGGGUUAGUAAUAUUGUUAAAGCACCUAUUGUUUCUUUCCUUCCAAAUUGACCACCAUAUGCAAGAUGGAACUAGAUUCCACCAUUUUUUCUGUGUUUUACUCCCCCCUCUUCUCAUCCAACAAUUUAGUAGGUCAGCAGUAUGCUCAGGCACCACCCAAGGAUCUUGAAUAAUGCUUU
Molecule: long non-coding RNA, 208 nt
Organism: Solanum tuberosum (potato)
Lineage: Eukaryota; Viridiplantae; Streptophyta; Magnoliopsida; Solanales; Solanaceae
Exons: 2
Source: RefSeq, a predicted model, not a curated record